This is a non-coding RNA of Dermacentor albipictus, 2137 nucleotides long. The record is from RefSeq and is a predicted model, not a curated record. NCBI's taxonomy places the organism in Eukaryota, Metazoa, Arthropoda, Arachnida, Ixodida, Ixodidae.
AAAGCAAAUACACUUCACGCAAUACAAAUACACUUCACGCUGUGUUCGGCAGCAGUGCACAAGAACAGAAUCAAACUUAAAAACAAGUAACACCAAUUCUCACCUGCAAAGGCAGAAGGUGUGUUACGAUUUGCACUGUUCGUGCACCGCCGCCGAACUGCGUGGCCCACUCGGUGAAGCCGUCCUUUUAUGCGUCUUUCACAACCAGCUGGCGUUGCGGCCACGUGAAGAUCCAAGCGCAGGCGCAGGACCACGGUGACCAAGCCUGCAGCGGAGCGUCCGUCCACGAGGUUGAUAAGGGCGGUCUUCCGUGAGUUGAGCCAAGGACAGCGAGCUGCAAAGGCAGAAGGUGUGUUACGAUUCGCACUGUUCGUGCACCACCGCCGAACUGCGUGGCCCACUCGGUGAAGCCGUCCUUUUAUGCGUCUUUCACAACCAGCUGGCGUUGCGGCCACGUGAAGAUCCAAGCGCAGGCGCAGGACCACGGUGACCAAGCCUGCAGCGGAGCGUCCGUCCACGAGGUUGAUAAGGGCGGUCUUCCGUGAGUUGAGCCAAGGACAGCGAGCUGCAAAGGCAGAAGAUGGAGAAAAGGUUUCUGUCCACUUUGUCAUGACCUGCACCUGUUCAUCACCAGCUCCCGCUGUGCAGUAUUCUACUCUUGAGCAGUCAUCUGUCUCACUUUUCCAGGGAUUCCGCAUACUGCAAGGUCUUCUCUGAACUUCUUCAUUCUGCCCUCCGGCUGCUCUGCGGAGCUGUACGUGUGGUCAAGAAGGACAUUCUCCAAGGCAGUAGUUGAUGUCCCACCAUCACUCUGUAUGUGGCAGCUACGUGAGGCUUCCUCGGUGGCUGGUGAUGGAGUGUCAUGCGCCUGCGAUUGAAUGUAUAAUGCCUGCUAACUUAGCCACCUAUUCACAGGACAGAGCACCGUUAACAUCCAUCCAAUCCAGUUUUAUAACACACAAGCAUGAUGAUUGUUCAUGGCAAGGCUGCAAUGACACUUAUUUUUACAUUGACAGGUAAUCAAUGUAACUGUCUGAUAAUGUAAUGGUUGUGGAGGGGGGACCUGUCAGAAUCCACACAGCACGUGUGUGGGACAUGUUACGCAUGUGUCGAGUUCUCUGGUCCUUUCAAUCCGCAAAAGCUGCAUACUUUACCAACGAAGGAUUGCAUUACAAGCUGACUGCUGACAGACCCAUGCACCAAGCUCGCUUGUUUGUGCUGUUGCUCAUUUAUACAUUUCCUUUUUUACUUGGCUUGUUCCAUACAAAAGCCGCAUGCAAUGAACACCUUAACUUGUGCACUCUACAUGGCGCUUCUUUUCACAGACAGCGAUGAGUGUGUUUUCAUAAUUUAGCGUUGCCAGUAGCCUUCAUCGUGAUUGUAUGACCAACAUGCAUGCAAAUUAAUAAUGUUUCCCCUUUUCGGCUACAACUUCAUUCUCCUGUACAUGCAAUACAACUACGUGAUUGAUAGCAGUACGCUGUAUUGGUACCUUCUCUUCUUUCAUGUCAAUUGUGCAUUGAAUGAGGCUUUUCCUUAAAAAAAAUUCAUUGUACAACUUCUGUAAAUUUCGCUAUGAUUGUCUGCACACAUGGAAGAAGAGCCCAGCAGAGAUACCUAUUGGCAUGCAAAAGUGAAAUGUAUAAUAAAACCACUUCGCUACGAUUGCAUCCUUGUGUAAAACAUUAAACACGAUCUGUCUCGAAGCUUCUGCUGUAGCACUUGCCGCUCUAUAUUAACACAUGCCACUAUUUGUCAAUUCGGUUUUUGCGGUUUCUAUUAUUACACUUACUGUAUUGCUAUGAGGCAUAUGAGCUCCAUGACUGGAAUGGCUAUCCUCUAAAAUUUUUUACAAGCAGUGCGGGGCUUCAAAGAAUGAGUUACGUAGUACCAAAGUUGUUUAAAAGUUCCAUUAACACUUUCACAUCCUCUUACAUCUGCACAUAAACAGCAUGAGCUAGGCAGGUAAGAAAUUUGCCUGGUUGUGAAAAGUCAUGCACGAAUUGAUUCAUGGCUGUGCAUGCUAAGUGCUGUUACCACAUUUUUAUAACAUCGUUGCUGUUCUCGCAAAACUCCACCACUUUGUAGGUUUUUUGGCACCACCGGCUGUUGUAUCCCGUCACGGCUUUGCAUACAC